CUACGGAGGGUGCAAGCGUUAAUCGGAAUUACUGGGCGUAAAGCGUACGUAGGCGGUUAUUUAAGUCAGAUGUUAAAGCCCCGGGCUUAACUUGGGAACUGCAUUUGAAACUGGGUAACUAGAGUUUAGUAGAGGGGAGUGGAAUUUCAGGUGUAGCGGUGAAAUGCGUAGAGAUCUGAAGGAACACCAGUGGCGAAGGCGACUCCCUGGACUAAAACUGACGCUGAGGUACGAAAGCGUGGGUAGCAAACAGGAUUAGAAACCCUAGUAGUCC
RNAcentral lists this ribosomal RNA (274 nucleotides) under uncultured bacterium. RNAcentral describes it as "partial 16S ribosomal RNA". It matches the Rfam family "Bacterial small subunit ribosomal RNA", at positions 523 to 796 of the family's 1533-position model. The record is from RNAcentral.